ACGCUCGACACCUACGGAAGGCAGCAGUCGGGAAUAUUGCGCAAUGGAGGAAACUCUGACGCAGUGACGCCGCGUAUAGGAAGAAGGUUUUCGGAUUGUAAACUAUUGUCGUUAGGGAAGAUACAAGACAGUACCUAAGGAGGAAGCACCGGCUAACUAUGUGCCAGCAGGGUAAUCUGAGCGGGCUGGCAAGGC
Molecule: ribosomal RNA, 195 nt
Filed under: uncultured bacterium
Lineage: Bacteria
Description: partial 16S ribosomal RNA
Rfam family: Bacterial small subunit ribosomal RNA
Source: RNAcentral